Long non-coding RNA from Marmota flaviventris (yellow-bellied marmot), 662 nucleotides. RefSeq lists it as uncharacterized. Lineage: Eukaryota; Metazoa; Chordata; Mammalia; Rodentia; Sciuridae. The record is from RefSeq and is a predicted model, not a curated record.
CAUAGACCUAGCCUGUUGGACUGGCUCAGGAUGUGUUCAGCUGAUCUGGAUGGGGAGUCAAAUUCACAUCCUGUGAGAAGUCAGCAAAUGGCAAAAAAACAAAAACCAGAAUGGAAAGAGGUUAGAAGAACAGCAUCCUGCAAGCUGACCUAAGGACAUUUUUAGACAAACAAUCCUAAUCACCAACAGCCGGUGGCAGAUUAUUUACACAUCUCUAGUGCUGGUUAUUAUAUGGAUGCCUGAAAUUAUUUCAGCUAUGGAAAGGUGAAAUUGUGACGGUGUCAGGUUGAAACCUCAUUUGAGAGAAUCCCACAUUCCACCGAGACUAAUGACUGGAAAUUCAGACUUGAUGAGAGAAGGGACAAGAAGUGAGAACAUGACAAAGCUGCACUGGCACCGGCAGAGCUGUUAUUUUUCAGAAGAACCUUUGGAAACCAGUCACUUAUAUUUAACUCCACUCCAGCAUAUUCAAGUUAUGGGAUUUCAUACCAUUGAUGUGGAGACGUACUAUUUUUAAACUUCUAAUAUCUCCAUCAGAAUUGUUUUCACUCAGUGAGUUGAAAAGAUUUUGGAAAUAACACUGAGAUAUAUUAUGUGAAGAUUCUAUUUUUUAUAUAAUAUGCAAAAAUUUAAAAAAGGUGAAUAUUUUCUUUGUUAUUCUC